This 206-nucleotide long non-coding RNA is filed under the name Lathyrus oleraceus (garden pea). Its description in RNAcentral is "Pisum sativum (pea) long non-coding RNA (PSAT_LNC007733)". Lineage: Eukaryota; Viridiplantae; Streptophyta; Magnoliopsida; Fabales; Fabaceae. The record is from RNAcentral.
GAUUUCAUAUAUAGCUGUGGGAGUCUUCCCAAUGUGCCUCUUGUAGGAGUUCAGGGUUGCAUCAAUUACAACCCGGUGCUUCUCAGGAGACAGAUGGGGUUUGCUGUGGAGGGUCCUCCUCUCGGGCGAGAGAUUCAGGAGUCCUUCUACUUCCCAAUUGAGGGCAAUCAUGCCAAGUUGAGGCAAGUGUUGGAUGAGUGGCGUAG